This 156-nucleotide ribosomal RNA is filed under the name Setaria italica (foxtail millet). RNAcentral describes it as "rRNA 5_8S_rRNA". It matches the Rfam family "5.8S ribosomal RNA". Rfam says of the family: 5.8S ribosomal RNA (5.8S rRNA) is a component of the large subunit of the eukaryotic ribosome. It is transcribed by RNA polymerase I as part of the 45S precursor that also contains 18S and 28S rRNA. Functionally, it is thought that 5.8S rRNA may be involved in ribosome translocation. Lineage: Eukaryota; Viridiplantae; Streptophyta; Magnoliopsida; Poales; Poaceae. The record is from RNAcentral.
GACUCUCGGCAACGGAUAUCUUGAUUCUCGCAUCGAUGGAGAACGUAGCAAAAUGCGAUACCUGGUGUGAAUUGCAGAAACCCACAAACCAUCGAGUUUUUGAACGCAAGUUGCGCCCGAGACCUUCUAGCUGAGAGCACGUCUGCCUGGGUGCAC